UAACAAAAAAAACUACUCAAUUCAAGAAGUCUUCCUCCAUAACAAAGCUUCUCUUUUCUAGCUUCCUCUUUUAAGUUGAAUUUUCCGAUCUUAGUUAACGAUCUUGGGCUAGCAGAAGGUCUCCCCAGUUACACCUUUCUUCUGUUAUUCUCCACAUGGCGUUACAAUGUAGAAUUUUCCAAGUAAAGAUAUAUUAGUGAAAAAAGAACAUAUAAACGACAACUUAGAAUGGAUAUUGAUCAAGUUAAGGAGCAAUUCAAGAACGUUGAAGGAGAGAGAAGACCAUGCUGCUUUGGAUUCAAAUAAGAUGUUGUCUUAAAAUAAUUGUAUAUUGUGACAAUUCUCAAAAUUGUAACAGUUGUAUAUAACUUGACAACUAUUUGGGAUUUGUAGCUACAUUAUGUAACAUUCCGAUAAACAAGGCAAGUAAAAACUUCUUUAAUUUGUAAAAAUGAAAUUGUUGAAAAUUAUUUUGGAUUUUAAUAGUUUUUAUUUUAGUUACAU
Capsicum annuum is the source of this 504-nucleotide long non-coding RNA. RefSeq lists it as uncharacterized. NCBI's taxonomy places the organism in Eukaryota, Viridiplantae, Streptophyta, Magnoliopsida, Solanales, Solanaceae. The transcript has 3 exons. The record is from RefSeq and is a predicted model, not a curated record.